CAAUCCACGCUUGGAGCCUACAGACCGGGGCUUAGGCCCUGAAGAGAAGGGCUUGGGGCCUAAAGAGAGGGUCUGGGCCCUAAAGAGAGGGGUUUGCGGCCUGAAAGAGAAGGGUUUGGGCGCUAAAAAGAGGGUUUUGGGCCCUAAGGAGGAUUUGGGCCCCAAAGAGCAGGGUUUGGGUCUCAAAGAGAAGGGUUUGGGCCCUAAAGAGAGGGUUUGGGGCCCUAAAGAGAGGGGUUUGGGGCCUGAAGAGAGGGGUUUGGGCCUGAAAAAGAAGGGUUUGUGGCCUAAAGAGAGGGGUUUGGGGCCUAAGGAGAAGAAGGGUUUGUGGCCUAAAGAGAGGGUGUGGGCUCGAAAAAGAAGGGUUUGAGCCCAAAAGAGAAGAAGGGCCUGAAAGAGAACGGUUUGGGCCAUAAACAGAAGAACAAUUUGAGGCCAAAAAGGAAGGGUUGGGGUCUAAAGAGAGGGGUUUGUGCCCUACAGAGAAGGGCUUGGGCCCUAAAGAGAAAGGUUUGGUCCCUAAAGAGAAGGCUUUGUGCCCUGACUAGAAAAAGGAUUUGGGCCCUAAGGAGAAGAAGGGUUUGGGGCCUAAAGAGAACGGCCAGGGGCCUAUUGAGAAUGGCCAGGGCCCUAAAGGGAAGUGCCUGGGCCCUAAGGAGAAGGGUUAGAGGUCUCAAGUAAGGGUUUUGUGCCCUGAAGAAUUUUUUUUUUUUUUUUUUUGCCCUCAAGAGAAGGGUUUUGACACUGAAGGAAAGGGUUCAGGCUCUAAAGAGAAGGAUUUGGGCCCUAAAGAGAAG
This 797-nucleotide long non-coding RNA is filed under the name Anas platyrhynchos platyrhynchos (common mallard). Its description in RNAcentral is "lncRNA (ENSAPLG00000025437.1)". The record is from RNAcentral. Lineage: Eukaryota; Metazoa; Chordata; Aves; Anseriformes; Anatidae.